UCUCGAAAGCCGGUCUCAGUUCGGAUUGGAGUCUGCAACUCGACUCUAUGAAGCUGGAAUCGCUAGUAAUCGCGCAUCAGCCAUGGCGCGGUGAAUACGUUCCCGGGCCUUGUACACACCGCCCGUCAAGCCAUGGAAGCUGGGGGUACCUGAAGUCGGUGACCGUAAAAGGAGCUGCCUAGGGUAAAACUAGUAACUAGGGCUAAGUCGUAACAAGGUAGCCGUACCGGAAGGUGCGGCUGGAACAUCUCAUUUUAGAGACUCGUUUGGAGUAUAAACAAAAUUAAGAAAGCUUACUUAAAGUAGCUUUGGUUUUUUUACUGGUUGGUAUAUAAAAGAAAUAACCCCUAAGAUUAGUAUCAGGGAUAAGAAAGAGAUUAGAAACUAGAAGUUGGAAGUUAGAAAAAGGAUGCAAGUCUAAAUUCUAACAAUCUAAACUCUGACAUCUAAGACAGUCUCGUAGCUCAGCUGGUUAGAGCGCUACACUGAUAAUGUAGAGGUCGGCAGUUCGAGCCUGCCCGAGACUACUAAUUUAAGAUAGAGGGGGAAUUAGCUCAGCUGGCUAGAGCGCCUGCCUUGCACGCAGGAGGUCAAGGGGUUCGACUCCCUUAUUCUCCACAAGGGUUAGAUAUUUAAUUUAAAAGUGACGGA
This 651-nucleotide unclassified non-coding RNA is filed under the name Riemerella anatipestifer. RNAcentral's name for it is "partial contains 16S ribosomal RNA, 16S-23S ribosomal RNA intergenic spacer, and 23S ribosomal RNA". The stretch from base 1 to 255 matches the Rfam family "Bacterial small subunit ribosomal RNA", at positions 1273 to 1533 of the family's 1533-position model. The record is from RNAcentral. Lineage: Bacteria; Pseudomonadati; Bacteroidota; Flavobacteriia; Flavobacteriales; Weeksellaceae.